GCCGUUUCUUUCUAAACAAAAGGCAUUAUCAUGAAGUUCCUUAUUUUAAGUGGUAUACUCUUAGCUGCAGCAUACGCAGCUCCAAAGAGAGCAAAACGUGAGGCUUACGCUCUUCCUGACGGUGCUGACCUUUUAGUAGGACCAAUUAAAACAACAUUCUCUUGCUUCAAUGAUGGUUAUU
Molecule: long non-coding RNA, 181 nt
Organism: Stegodyphus dumicola
Lineage: Eukaryota; Metazoa; Arthropoda; Arachnida; Araneae; Eresidae
Source: RefSeq, a predicted model, not a curated record